RNAcentral lists this transfer RNA (72 nucleotides) under Salamandra salamandra (fire salamander). RNAcentral describes it as "tRNA-Leu". It matches the Rfam family "tRNA". From Rfam's summary of the family: Transfer RNA (tRNA) molecules are approximately 80 nucleotides in length. Lineage: Eukaryota; Metazoa; Chordata; Amphibia; Caudata; Salamandridae. The record is from RNAcentral.
ACUUUUAAAGGAUAAUAGCAAUCCAUUGGUCUUAGGAACCAAAAAUUCUCGGUGCAACCCCAAGUAAAAGUU